RNAcentral lists this unclassified non-coding RNA (196 nucleotides) under rhizosphere metagenome. RNAcentral describes it as "partial ribosomal RNA internal transcribed spacer region". The record is from RNAcentral.
GUAGGUGAACCUGCGGAGGGAUCAUUACAGAGUUUUUAACUCCUAAAACCAUGUGAACUUACCACUGUUGCCUCGGUGGAAGGUACCCGAAAGGGUGCCGGAAGCCGGCGGACAUCUAAACUCUUGUUAAUUUUUGUUAUUCUGAAUCAAACUAAGAAAUAAGUUAAAACUUUCAACAACGGAUCUCUUGGUUCUG